Molecule: long non-coding RNA, 1209 nt
Filed under: Androctonus crassicauda
Lineage: Eukaryota; Metazoa; Arthropoda; Arachnida; Scorpiones; Buthidae
Source: RNAcentral
UUUUAUUUGUAAUUACUACUAGAAAUUUAUAAUCUUGCAUGGUUUGGAUAGUAUCAUUGUGGCCUUUUAAUACAUUUAUUUCUGUUUAUAAUUAAUAAUAGUGUUUAUUAUUGUCUUGAUGUUUCGAUUAAAAAUCGGUUAAUUAAUCGAAUAUAUUUUGCUAAAAUUUAUAAUAAAAAAAAAUAUUUUUAAGCUAUUUUUCCAUUUAUGAAACAAUUUUCAAAGUACACCGACGUGAUUGUUACAAGAAAGCUAUUGUAAAGCACAAAUACUUCAUUACAAAACUCCAUUACAUUUAUAUCAGUAAUAAAUUCCGCACGGGUCUAAGGUUACACCUGCAUUUAGACCUAUAAUGUAGAGAGAGAGUAAUCAAAACAUCGACAGUAGACAACUAAGUUUAUUUCUCACUCAGAGAUUGCGGGAGUUUCCUACUACUACUGCACUUAACCUAUUGCUAUUCUCAACCUAUCGUGUAUUUGUAGUCUUAGGCCUACUUAAAAUUUUUAAUUAGGAUUAAGUUCCCUGCCCGCUCCAUUUACUUAGAGCCAAAUGGUUUGCUAGUUCGUUACGACAUACCGUCUUUAAUGGGUGAUGGAAGCCGUUUGGAGACAGGCCAUUCGCAACGGACUGUGCAUUCGUCCGAAAAUUACAAAAGCUGGUAGAGUUGUUUCCCUAAUACUAACGUCAUUACGACGGCAUGCGUCUUUAAUGCUCUGGAACAACAAUGAAGACGAGUUUUCUCAUCAGACUCGUUCCUCUUUCUUAACUAUAAGAACGUGUCUCCUGGAGAGAUUAUUAAUAAUACCGCCCAAUACUCGUUGAUUUAUGGGUAACUGUAUAGAAUGCCAUCCUACUGUUACAGAAAACACACGGACGGUUUUAUAGGUGACAAUUACGUACGGGAGUCUGACUCUCGUAAAACCGAUUUUGUAAUUAAGGAUAAGAAUCGUUACAACAACAAGAAGAAGAUUUCCAACAGCUGUAGCUACUAUUAAGCUAAAAGUAUAAAUAUAGAACAUAACUAAAGUCAAUUUGAAUAUUUCUCUCUACUGUUUAUCUUAUAUUAUUUUUUUUUAUGCAGAAAACUUUCUAUAAGCUUAUUCGAAGAAUAGUAAAGACGUUAUAAAAUGCUCUUAUGCACUUUUAACAUGACUCACGCUUAGAUCUUAAUUAUUUCUAUGAAUAUUUUUGUAGUCUUAUAUCUUAUGC